RNAcentral lists this transfer RNA (63 nucleotides) under Trichuris trichiura (human whipworm). RNAcentral's name for it is "tRNA-Trp". The record is from RNAcentral. Lineage: Eukaryota; Metazoa; Nematoda; Enoplea; Trichinellida; Trichuridae. RNAcentral also lists the same sequence under 1 other name.
AUAACUUUAGGUUAAAAAAACUGUAAACCUUCAAAGUUUAAUAUAACGUAAUGUUAAGUUAUG